Molecule: ribosomal RNA, 465 nt
Filed under: uncultured bacterium
Lineage: Bacteria
Description: partial 16S ribosomal RNA
Rfam family: Bacterial small subunit ribosomal RNA
Source: RNAcentral
GACGAACGCUGGCGGCGUGCUUAACACAUGCAAGUCGAACGGAAAGGCCCUGCUUGCAUGGUCCUCGAGUGGCGAACGGGCGGGUAACACGUGGGUGAUCUGCCCUCUACUUUUUGAUAAGCCUGGGAAACGGGGUCCAAAACCUGAUAGGAGCCACGUCCUACGUGAUGGUUGAAAAGUUUUUUCGGUGUUGCGUGAGUUGGCGGCCUAUCAGCUUGUUGGUGGGGUAAUGGCCUACCAGGGCGGCAACGGGUAGCGGGACUGUGGGAGUGGGCGGCCACAUAGAGACUGAGAGGAGGCCCAGGUUCCUAAGAGAGGAAGAUGGGGGGAAUAUUGCACAAUGGGCGCAAGGCUGAUGAAGCGAGGCCGCGUGGGGGAUGACGGCCUUCGGGUUGUAGAAAAGUUGCGCUAGGGACGAAGCUUGUUGUGACGGUACCUAGAGAAGAAGCACCGGCUAACUACGUG